GUUUGAUCCUGGCUCAGAUUGAACGCUGGCGGCAUGCCUUACACAUGCAAGUCGAACGGCAGCACGGGAGCAAUCCUGGUGGCGAGUGGCGAACGGGUGAGUAAUAUAUCGGAACGUGCCCAGUCGUGGGGGAUAACGCAGCGAAAGCUGUGCUAAUACCGCAUACGAUCUAUGGAUGAAAGCGGGGGAUCGCAAGACCUCGCGCGAUUGGAGCGGCCGAUAUCAGAUUAGCUAGUUGGUGGGGUAAAAGCCCACCAAGGCGACGAUCUGUAGCUGGUCUGAGAGGACGACCAGCCACACUGGAACUGAGACACGGUCCAGACUCCUACGGGAGGCAGCAGUGGGGAAUUUUGGACAAUGGGCGCAAGCCUGAUCCAGCAAUGCCGCGUGCAGGAUGAAGGCCUUCGGGUUGUAAACUGCUUUUGUACGGAACGAAACGGCGAGCUCUAAUAAAGUUUGCUAACGACGGUACCGUAAGAAUAAGCACCGGCUAACUACGUGCCAGCAGCCGCGGUCAUACGUAGGGUGCAAGC
This 533-nucleotide ribosomal RNA is filed under the name uncultured bacterium. Its description in RNAcentral is "bacterial SSU rRNA". It matches the Rfam family "Bacterial small subunit ribosomal RNA", at positions 11 to 539 of the family's 1533-position model. The record is from RNAcentral.